This 81-nucleotide non-coding RNA is filed under the name Bradyrhizobium lablabi. Its description in RNAcentral is "ZTP sequence". It matches the Rfam family "ZMP/ZTP riboswitch aptamer (pfl RNA motif)". From Rfam's summary of the family: Previously known as pfl RNA. ZMP is also known as AICAR. Lineage: Bacteria; Pseudomonadati; Pseudomonadota; Alphaproteobacteria; Hyphomicrobiales; Nitrobacteraceae. The record is from RNAcentral.
GCAAUCUCGCGCGACUGGCGAUCGUAGAUGGAGCACCAUCGGGAAGCGCGAGGAAUUGAGCCGCGCGCCUGGGCAAUCGGA